RNAcentral lists this ribosomal RNA (448 nucleotides) under uncultured bacterium. Its description in RNAcentral is "SSU rRNA". It matches the Rfam family "Bacterial small subunit ribosomal RNA", at positions 26 to 518 of the family's 1533-position model. The record is from RNAcentral.
AGAGCGAACGCUGGCGGCAGGCCUAACACAUGCAAGUCGAGCGCCCGUAGCAAUACGGGAGCGGCAGACGGGAUAGUAACACGUGGGAACGCGCCCUUCGGUUCGGAAUAACUCAGGGAAACUUGAGCUAAUACCGGAUACGCCCUUACGGGGAAAGAUUUAUUGCCGAAGGAACGGCCCGCGUCCGAUUAGCUAGUUGGUGAGGUAAUGGCUCACCAAGGCUCCGAUCGGUAGCUGGUCUGAGAGGAUGACCAGCAUCACUGGGACUGAGACACGGCCCAGACUCCUACGGGAGGCAGCAGUGGGGAAUUUUGCGCAAUGGGGGAAACCCUGACGCAGCAACGCCGCGUGGAGGAUGAAGUCCUUCGGGACGUAAACUCCUUUCGAUCGGGACGAUUAUGACGGUACCGGAAGAAGAAGCCCCGGCUAACUUCGUGCCAGCAGCCGC